Molecule: transfer RNA, 60 nt
Filed under: Membranacea stenoprocessa
Lineage: Eukaryota; Metazoa; Arthropoda; Insecta; Hemiptera; Cicadellidae
Description: tRNA-Asp
Rfam family: tRNA
About the family: Transfer RNA (tRNA) molecules are approximately 80 nucleotides in length. Their secondary structure includes four short double-helical elements and three loops (D, anti-codon, and T loops).
Source: RNAcentral
AAGAGUUUAGUUUAAUAAAAUAUUAGUUUGUCAAAUUAAAGAUACUGUUAGUAAUUCUUU